CUCGGCAAAGUUGUCAUCAGGUUGGGUUGAGUGAAGGAAAAGCUGGAGAGAGACUUUAGGCAGUGAAAGCCCAGAAGAAGGCUUCGAAGGAUGAUGCUUUUCGAGCCUGAUCUGAACUCUAGGUUGCUAAGAAAUGGAUCACGUAGCUCGAGAGUUUCAUUGCUAUGGAGCAUGGUUCAUGGAGGCAUGGCAGAAGAGGGUUG
This 203-nucleotide long non-coding RNA is filed under the name Elaeis guineensis (African oil palm). Its description in RNAcentral is "long non-coding RNA (EGUI_LNC028658)". Lineage: Eukaryota; Viridiplantae; Streptophyta; Magnoliopsida; Arecales; Arecaceae. The record is from RNAcentral.